RNAcentral lists this long non-coding RNA (452 nucleotides) under Vulpes vulpes (red fox). Its description in RNAcentral is "lncRNA (ENSVVUG00000007869.1)". The record is from RNAcentral. Lineage: Eukaryota; Metazoa; Chordata; Mammalia; Carnivora; Canidae.
AUGUUGGGGGGAAAGCCAACAAUUGUCGAGACUCUGGCAAAUGUGGAACUCCUCACCAGAAAUGACUCACAAUCACUGCUGUCAAGGUGCAUGGGACUUUGCUUUUGCCGUCGUCAGAGCACCUUCGUUGGUUACAGACAUUCGUCCUUACAUAAGGCCAAACUCAGCACACCCAUAAAAACUCUGAAUGCUGCUAACAGGGAGGCCUAUGUGGCCAAGAACUAAGGGAGAUCUCCAGCCAAUGGCCAGUGAGGAGCUUCCACACACUGACAUGGAAGAGGGGCCUCCCCCAGUCAAACCUUCAGAUGGGACUGCAGCCCUGGAUGACAGAUUGACUGCAAUCUCAUGAGAUACCUGGAGCCAGAAGCUCCCAGCUCAGCCAUGCCUGGAUUUAUAACCCACGGGAAUUGCAAGAUAAUAAAGGAUGAUUGUAAGCUGCUAUGUUUGGGGAU